Molecule: long non-coding RNA, 1038 nt
Organism: Mus caroli (Ryukyu mouse)
Lineage: Eukaryota; Metazoa; Chordata; Mammalia; Rodentia; Muridae
Source: RefSeq, a predicted model, not a curated record
CAGUCUAAGACAAAUCAGCUCCUUCCUGUAAAAUAGAACAAGGGAACCAAGAGUCCUGAGAAAGCUGUGGCAAAUAUUUUUAUUGGCAUAGAGAGAAGAGCAGUUAAUAAGCUACUUAAUUGGCUUUAGAAACACUUUUAAUUGAAAAAUUUCUGGAAUUGAUGGCAUAUAACAGAACAUGUAUAUUGUGGCUAUGGAAUGGUGUAGCAGAUUGCUGCAGAUGGUUUCAAUAGUUCUGCUGAAUGCUCCUCGUUUGUGCCUGCAAGAGGAACUCAAGGCUUUAUGUAUGGCCAUUGCUGUGACCUAGUGUGAUGCUCUACUUUUCCACUGAACUCUGCUUGCUCUAACUGAGGACCUUAGCUAUAAUUUAGCCUUUUCUUUUUAUAUUAAGCUGUUGUUGAGGAAGGAGCUUUGGCAAUAGAAGUAACCAAGCAGCAGGUUCAGUUCCACUGUUGACACAAUUGGAAACGGAUCCCUACUUUAUGCAUUGGAGAUGCUAUGAAGACUACUCUGAUGUUCCCCUAUUGGGAUAGUGAAAUCCAAGAAUCACAACCAGUCCAGGUGUGUGAACCCAUCCACAAUGAAUUGAACUUUUCCACAUCAGUCAUCAAUUAAGAAAAUGCUCUACAGUCUUGCCUACAGCCAAGUCUUAUAGAGGCAUGUCUCAAGUUGGAUUCCUUCCUCUCAGAUAUCUCUAGCCUGUGUCAAGUGACAUAAAAUUAGCCAGCACAACCAUUGUCAAUGAAAAAGUGGAAUCUUAUGUUUCUGUAAGAGUUAUUUUAUUGCAUUUGUGGCUGUAAAGAUUGACUCCUGGGCCUUGCACAUGAUAGGUUAGUGUUCUACCUGAGAUAUGGCCUCAGAUGUCUGUGAUUUCAUGACAUUAGCCAAAACACCCAACAGCGGGGAGAUAGGACUUGAAGAGUCCACCUCUAGUAGAUAAAUAUGGCUCCUAGUAAAGGUAUGGGGUCUACCCAUACAUCUCAAAAUUUUUAAUUCAGAAUUUUUCCUGGCUAAAGGAAAUACAGGAACAACAACAAC